Molecule: long non-coding RNA, 1393 nt
Organism: Serinus canaria (Common canary)
Lineage: Eukaryota; Metazoa; Chordata; Aves; Passeriformes; Fringillidae
Exons: 3
Source: RefSeq, a predicted model, not a curated record
AGCGCUAAGGGCCCCAGGAGGAGGAAGAGGAAGGUGAAGGUGAAGAAGAAGGGCUUGGGGCAGCCAAGCCCAGCUGAAGAGCCGGAGGGGCCGGGAGUAGGGGCUGCCGGGGGGCUGCUGCUCCCCAACAGGGUCGGGCAGGAGGAGCCCACAGCCAUCGGGAUGGCCACCUCCCUCCCAGCACAGGGUAUGAAAAAGAAAAAAAAGAAGAAAAUCAAGAAUAAAAUCAAGUCACGGGAACCUUCUCUGGAGCAGCAGCGUGAGGAGGUCUCAAGCACCUUUGAUUUGUACCGCCGGGCGAUGCUGGCUCUGAAGAUGAGGCAGGAGCAGAGGAAGCAGCCAUCGGCCAUCGCCCCCUGAGCAGGGAGGGAGGCACCGAGCACGGGCCGUGGUCCCAGAGGAGCCAGGCUGCAGGGCCAGUGGGCCCCACACUCCUGCAGAGCUGCCGGGUGCUCGGCCAGGGCUGGCAGAGCUGGGAAAUGGGUCCUGGGGCAUGAACUGCAUCUUUGUCCCCUGCGUGGCUUGAAAACCAGGGAUCCAGAGGGGCGAGCCAAAAGUCCCUUUGUAAGAUGCCUCUGGCAGCCGGGCUGCAAGCCCGAGUGAAAAGGGAACAGCCAGCCCCCUGCUGCCCCCUGUUCGUAUUCCCUGGAAGACUCCGUCUAAGCCCGGAUUAGCCUGUGCAGGAGAGGAAGAUCCGAGCAAACACCAGGGGAAAGCUUGUCUCUUGAAGGGACCUGUGCCCGGGGAAAGCUGUCUUUGCAGCUCAGGGCUGACCUGGCCCGGCUCUCCCUGCCUGCUGCCUGGUUCCCUGCAGCUGAAGGAGGGAGGGCAGCCCCGGGCGCUCUGCAGAGCAGCUCCACAUCUGGCAGGGCUGUCAGGACCCUGUUCCCACACUGCAGGAGGGUGGUGCCCGUGCUUGUGCACCCUGCAGCCCAUCAGCGAACAUCGAAGUUCAAAGGCAGCUGGUGGCGGAGGCUCCAUCCCCAGGAGCGGUCCUGCUGACCCUGCCACCCUUCCAGGAGGGACAGACACUGUCGCUGGCAGCCUCUGCUGCCCCAGGUGGCCCCUGCCGUGACCCAGGAGGAGAGCAGCACACCCGUCCAAGCCCAGCCUGUGACACGGUGGGGAAAGCUGCCCUCAGCCCUGGAAAUGCUCCACCUGCAGCCCGGGUUGGUGUUUUUCCCGUGACACCUGCAGCAAGCAGCGUUGGAAGCUGAGGUGUGCGUUAGUCACCUCUGCUCCCGCGUUACUCAUUAACAGGAGCUGCCUCUGCCGUCCAGGGGAAGGCAAAUCAGGGAAGCCUUUCCCUUGGCAGGGCUGGAAAGGGAAAGGAAGAGAAACUGGCUGCUCUGCCUUGCCAGCCUGCCAUAAAGCUCUGUCUGACUCUGCUGUA